This 439-nucleotide ribosomal RNA is filed under the name uncultured bacterium. RNAcentral describes it as "bacterial SSU rRNA". It matches the Rfam family "Bacterial small subunit ribosomal RNA", at positions 949 to 1388 of the family's 1533-position model. The record is from RNAcentral.
AUUCGAUGCAACGCGAAGAACCUUACCAGGUCUUGACAUUGAUGGACAGAACCAGAGAUGGUUCCUCUUCUUCGGAAGCCAGAAAACAGGUGGUGCACGGUUGUCGUCAGCUCGUGUCGUGAGAUGUUGGGUUAAGUCCCGCAACGAGCGCAACCCCUAUCUUAUGUUGCCAGCACUUUGGGUGGGAACUCAUGAGAGACUGCCGCAGACAAUGCGGAGGAAGGCGGGGAUGACGUCAAAUCAUCAUGCCCCUUAUGACCUGGGCUACACACGUACUACAAUGGAACGGACAGAGAGCAGCGAACCCGCGAGGGCAAGCGAACCUCAAAAACCGUUUCCCAGUUCGGAUUGCAGGCUGCAACCCGCCUGCAUGAAGUCGGAAUCGCUAGUAAUCGCAGGUCAGCAUACUGCGGUGAAUACGUUCCCGGGCCUAGUACAC